CCUACGGGGCGCAGCAGUGGGGAAUAUUGGGCAAUGGAGGAAACUCUGACCCAGCAACGCCGCGUGAAGGAUGAAGGUUUUCGGAUUGUAAACUUCUGUCGCGAGGGAUGAAGAAUGACGGUACCUCGUAAGAAAGCCCCGGCUAACUACGUGCCAGCAGCCGCGGUAAUACGUAGGGGGCAAGCGUUAUCCGGAUUUAUUGGGUUUAAAGGGUGCGCAGGCGGUCUGUUAAGUCAGCGGUCAAAGCCCGGGGCUCAACCCCGGCCCGCCGUUGAAACUGCCAGUCUCGAGUUGGAGAGAAGUAU
Molecule: ribosomal RNA, 305 nt
Filed under: uncultured bacterium
Lineage: Bacteria
Description: bacterial SSU rRNA
Rfam family: Bacterial small subunit ribosomal RNA
Source: RNAcentral